CCCUUAGAGUUUGAUCCUGGCUCAGGAUGAACGCUAGCUACAGGCUUAACACAUGCAAGUCGAGGGGCAGCAUUUCAGUUUGCUUGCAAACUGGAGAUGGCGACCGGCGCACGGGUGAGUAACACGUAUCCAACCUGCCGAUAACUCGGGGAUAGCCUUUCGAAAGAAAGAUUAAUACCCGAUGGUAUAAUCAGACCGCAUGGUCUUGUUAUUAAAGAAUUUCGGUUAUCGAUGGGGAUGCGUUCCAUUAGGCAGUUGGUGAGGUAACGGCUCACCAAACCUUCGAUGGAUAGGGGUUCUGAGAGGAAGGUCCCCCACAUUGGAACUGAGACACGGUCCAAACUCCUACGGGAGGCAGCAGUGAGGAAUAUUGGUCAAUGGGCGCAGGCCUGAACCAGCCAAGUAGCGUGAAGGAUGACUGCCCUAUGGGUUGUAAACUUCUUUUAUAUGGGAAUAAAGUUUUCCACGUGUGGAAUUU
Molecule: ribosomal RNA, 478 nt
Filed under: uncultured bacterium
Lineage: Bacteria
Description: bacterial SSU rRNA
Rfam family: Bacterial small subunit ribosomal RNA
Source: RNAcentral